This 1777-nucleotide long non-coding RNA is filed under the name Mus musculus (house mouse). Its description in RNAcentral is "Pvt1 oncogene". The stretch from base 40 to 196 matches the Rfam family "Pvt1 oncogene conserved region 1". The record is from RNAcentral. Lineage: Eukaryota; Metazoa; Chordata; Mammalia; Rodentia; Muridae.
GCCAGCCCCGCGCUCUACCAGGCAGAGCGCGUGUGGCCGCCGAGCACAUGGACCCACUGGUCAAGCGGGCUCGGCAAGGCCAGGAUGAAGAGAAGCUACGAACUUAGCAUUCCCAGAGCCCCCCGAGUGGAUAUCCGCGUGGAAAGGAUGUUGGCAGCCCCGGUGACCUCGGAGUCACGGCUGGAUCCACCCUCUUUGGUUUUCUUCUCCCUUGUCUCAGGUCUGAUUUUCUUAACUCUACUACGGUAAGAAGAUGCCCUCCAUCAGCAGGCCGUGUCUGCUGGGACCUCUCUGGAGACUUCCUGAACCCUGUGGAUUUACAGUAAGAUGCAGUUUCCUGGGGAGUAAUUCUGGUGGAUACAAAUUCCGGAGUAUUACACCUGGCUUGCCUGGAGAUGUUACAAGUAGCUGGAUGGAUUCUUCAGCCUGGAUGCCCACUGAAAACAAGGACCGAAACUAAGAGGAUUGUAUCUCUACCCUUGACUCAAUGAGAAUGUUUGUUGUCAUCUCUCGGGCUACCUGGAGCUCCCUCUAAAAUAGAGCCGAGUUCUGUCACCACAGACAUUGGCAGUGGCACUUGCAUGCCCCUGGCAAGCAGUCUAUCCUGAGGUGGAGGAAGUUGCCCUUGAGUUCUGGCUGGUAACCAGCACAGGGGCUGGGACACUGCCUGAUUGAGGUGGCCAUUGAGAAUUCAAGUGUACCUCUUGGUCCCUGAUGCAGAAAUGAAGUCCCCAGCAUGCUCAAGAAGAGCUUCCUUGGAGGAUGAGAGGCAUGGGAAUCUAAGUAUACCCUUUAAGCGUUCCAGAAGGAUUUUGAGAUCCUUUCCUAAAUCAAAGGUGGAAUAUUUGGGGAUUUGGAAAAUUGAGCAUUUUUUUCCCCACUUGCUUGACUGUAAUGCUAACAUGCUCUCUCUGCUCCAACCUGGAGAAGCCAGUCUCUCAGAAGAACCAGUUGUGUUACUUUGCUGUGAGAUGCCUGCCCUAAGAGAGGAGCAGAAGGUCGGAACGGGUCCUCUAAUGUGAUAAUUAGAUGUGAAGCGUUGACUUAAGAGAUGCCAAGUAACUCAGCAGAUGUCACACAGACGAUAAAUAGCAAAGAUGGAAGUCUUCAUGCCGGAGGCAAUCCUAUAAGACAGCUGAGUUCUGCAGAGCUGGAGACAGACUUGCUCAGGUGAUAGAUCCAGCCAUGAUACUGACCCUAAGAGAAUGAGACGCUCUGCAGAAGACAGAAGAUUCCUGAAACUGGGAAAGGUGCCUAGAAAUCCUGAUAAGAGUGAAGAAGGAGCUGGCAGAGCAGCCUUCCUCCGCACUAUGAAAGACAUCCAACAGAGAGCAAGUUCCCACCUCACUUCCAGCUUGACUCCUUUUUAUCUCCUAACUGUGGUCUGUGAUGUCUUCAGCAAUGGGUACCUGGAGGCACAGCAGCCAUGUUGAACCUAUGAGGUGAUGAAAAACCAUGCAACUAGAAACCAGAAUGGAAGAAAAGAAGAAGCUGGAUCCUUGACUGAAUUGUCGAUGGGGGAUAGUCCAUCAUCCCAGGGCUAAGACCACCUCCAGAUUUCUUGUUUGGUGAAACAAGUCCUGAUUGUUUACAUUCCCUCGUGUUGAGCUGUCUCUUGCUUGUAGCUGAAAGCAUUUCUAAUAGAUAUUCAGAUUAUCAGCCUUAGCUCCAAGCUAGAAUACUCUAUGGGACCUUAGCUUCUCCAUGAAUUCCUUUGCUCAUCUGUGUAAUGCUCAAUAAAUGUAAAUUGAACCCUGAAUGAGGGACAAUGACACUA